ACGAGUUUUGGCACGGGUUUUGGGGGACCCACACCGGGGGUGGCGGCCUUGGCGGGCGCCGUGCCAAAGACGCACGCGGGGGGCGAGACACGCGGGACAUCCGGGAAGGGCUCCCAAAUCACAGCGUCCACGUCAGACGCGGGGAACAAGCUCAGAGCAGCCGCGGAAUUCCGAGCAGCACCCGUAAGUAGACGUAGGGGACGCACGGCGGUGACGCAGGACCCGGAAGUCGAACCGCGGCGGUCAGCUCGCAUCGCGGAGCAAACACGGGCACGGGCGAAGCAGGGAUCGUACACACGGAGCAAGGUCCGAAGUGGGUGUCGGCACGACACGUGAAGCCGUUUCGAACGCAAGAACAAAAGAACACAGAUCCCGGAAACAGAGAGACAAGUACUCAGACAGAGGAGGAGACUCAAACUACAAGCAAUAAUCUAGAAGAAACAGAAGAAUAAAAGACUUUGGGGGGUUUUCUGAAAAACUUUGGGUGGAAAAUGGUGAUAUUUAGUCAGAAAGGUGGGGUGAUAAACUUUGCAAUGUUCAUGUGUUUUGUCUCAUUGCCAAUGGUUUUGAACAACAAAGCAAAUUUACCAGUCAAUCAGCCAGAGAAAAAUGUUUG
This is a long non-coding RNA of Passer domesticus (house sparrow), 616 nucleotides long. RefSeq lists it as uncharacterized. Lineage: Eukaryota; Metazoa; Chordata; Aves; Passeriformes; Passeridae. The transcript is spliced from 2 exons. The record is from RefSeq and is a predicted model, not a curated record.